GGGCUCGCUUCAGCAGCACACAAUAUAAACUGGAGUAACAUAGGGAAGACUAGCCUUGUUCCUGCACAAGAAAGACAUACAAGUUCCUGAAGUGGUCUCUGUGUUU
This is a small nuclear RNA of Dipodomys ordii (Ord's kangaroo rat), 106 nucleotides long. Lineage: Eukaryota; Metazoa; Chordata; Mammalia; Rodentia; Heteromyidae. The record is from Ensembl.